This 699-nucleotide long non-coding RNA is filed under the name Homo sapiens (human). Its description in RNAcentral is "HSALNT0301294". The record is from RNAcentral. Lineage: Eukaryota; Metazoa; Chordata; Mammalia; Primates; Hominidae.
CCACGCCUGACUGGUUUUCAUGUUUUUUUUGGUGGAGACGGGGUUUUGCUGUGUUGGCCGGGCUGGUCUCCAGCUCCUAGCCGCGAGUGAUCCGCCAGCCUCGGCCUCCCGAGGUGCCGGGAUUGCAGACGGAGUCUCCUUCACUCAGUGCUCAAUGGUGCCCAGGCUGGAGUGCAGUGGCGUGAUCUUGGCUCGCUACAACCUCCACCUCCCAGCCGCCUGCCUUGGCCCCCCAAAGUGCCGAGAUUGCAGCCUCUGCCCAGCCGCCACCCCGUCUGGGAAGUGAGGAGCGUCUCUGCCUGGCCCCCCAUCGUCUGGGAUAUGAGGAGCCUCUCUGCCUGGCUGCCCAGUCUGGAAAGUGAGGAGCGUCUCUGCCCGGCCGCCCCGUCUGAGAAGUGAGGAAACCCUCUGCCUGGCAACCGCCCCAUCUGAGAAGUGAGGAGCCCCUCCGUCCGGCAGCCACCCCGUCUGGGAAGUGAGGAGCGUCUCCGCCCGGCAGCCACCCCGACCGGGAGGGAGGUGGGGGGGGGGUCAGCCCCCCGCCCGGCCAGCCGCCCCGUCCGGGAGGUGAGGGGCUCCUCUGCCCGGCCGCCCCUACUGGGAAGUGAGGAGCCCCUCUGCCCGGCCAGUCGCCCCGUCCAGGAGGGAGGUGGGGGGGUCAGCCCCCCGCCCGGCCAGCCGCCCAGUCCGGGAGGUGAG